This is a non-coding RNA of Caenorhabditis elegans, 132 nucleotides long. Lineage: Eukaryota; Metazoa; Nematoda; Chromadorea; Rhabditida; Rhabditidae. The record is from Ensembl.
GGAACCGUUUGAGUCGUAAACUGUAUUAUUGUUGUACAUGAGGGAAAGAGAGUACGUCUCUCUCUCUUUCUCGUUUGACAACAAGAUCAAAAAAGAGUAAACAGAGAGAAAUUGACAACAGAUUAGAAAGGA